This 486-nucleotide ribosomal RNA is filed under the name uncultured bacterium. RNAcentral's name for it is "partial 16S ribosomal RNA". It matches the Rfam family "Bacterial small subunit ribosomal RNA", at positions 30 to 507 of the family's 1533-position model. The record is from RNAcentral.
AUUGAACGCUGGCGGCAUGCCUUACACAUGCAAGUCGAACGGCAGCACGGGUGCUUGCACCUGGUGGCGAGUGGCGAACGGGUGAGUAAUACAUCGGAACAUGUCCUGUAGUGGGGGAUAGCCCGGCGAAAGCCGGAUUUAUACCGCAUACGAUCUACGGAUGAAAGCGGGGGACCUUCGGGCCUCGCGCUAUAGGGUUGGCCGAUGGCUGAUUAGCUAGUUGGUGGGGUAAAGGCCUACCAAGGCGACGAUCAGUAGCUGGUCUGAGAGGACGACCAGCCACACUGGGACUGAGACACGGCCCAGACUCCUACGGGAGGCAGCAGUGGGGAAUUUUGGACAAUGGGCGAAAGCCUGAUCCAGCAAUGCCGCGUGUGUGAAGAAGGCCUUCGGGUUGUAAAGCACUUUUGUCCGGAAAGAAAUCCUUGGCCCUAAUACGGUCGGGGGAUGACGGUACCGGAAGAAUAAGCACCGGCUAACUACGUG